GACGAACGCUGGCGGCGUGCUUAACACAUGCAAGUCGAACGGAAAGGCGCUGCUUUUGUGGGGUGCUCGUGUGGCGAACGCGUGAGUAACACGUGAGUAACCUGCCCUUGACUUUGGGAUAACUUCAGGAAACUGGGGCUAAUACCGGAUAGGAGCUCCUGCUGCGUAGUGUUGGUUGGAAAGUUUCGGCGGUGGUGGAUGGACUCGCGGCUUAUCAGCUUGUUGGUGAGGUAGUUGAUUACCAAGGGUUUGACGGGUAGGCGGCCUGGGAGGGUGACCGGCCACAUUGGGCCUGCGAGACGGCCCAGAAUCCUACGGGAGGCAGCAGUGGGGAAUAUGGCACAGUGGGCGGACGCCUGAGGUAGCAACGUCGGGUUCGGGAUGACGGCCUUCGGGGUGUAAACCGAUUUCGCCUGUGACGAAGCGUGAGUGACGGUAAUGGGUAAAGAAGCACCGGCUAACUACGUG
RNAcentral lists this ribosomal RNA (468 nucleotides) under uncultured bacterium. RNAcentral's name for it is "partial 16S ribosomal RNA". It matches the Rfam family "Bacterial small subunit ribosomal RNA", at positions 28 to 507 of the family's 1533-position model. The record is from RNAcentral.